RNAcentral lists this long non-coding RNA (798 nucleotides) under Brassica rapa (field mustard). RNAcentral describes it as "long non-coding RNA (BRAP_LNC006046)". Lineage: Eukaryota; Viridiplantae; Streptophyta; Magnoliopsida; Brassicales; Brassicaceae. The record is from RNAcentral.
AAGAAUAGAUUGAGGUUCAAGGGUAGAUGGGUUUGGGGUUUGGAAUAUAUGAAGUAGAAGAUAAGGAAGAUGGGGUUUGGGGUUUCGGAUUUUAGGGAUUUAUACGUAAUACUCGUUAAUUCCUCGUAAGCCAAAAUCGUCGUAAGGUUGUCGUAAGGCCACGAGGAGUUUACGACGAAAUUAAAAAAAAUAAAGAAAGCGGGGCACGCUAAUUCCACGCAAGCCAAAAUCGUCGUAAGGUUGUCGUAAGGCCACGAGGAGUUUACGACAAAAUUAAAAAAAAAAUAAAGAAAGCGGGGCACGCUAAUUCCACGUAAGACUCUCUGAGUGAAUGAAAAUAAGGAAUUGUGGUUUGGAAUGAAAAUAAAGAUAGGGUUUGGAAUAUAUGAAGUAGAAGAUAAGGAAUAUGGGGUUUGGGGUUUGGGGUUUCGGGUUUUAGGGAUUUAAAUGGAAUACUCGUUAAUUCCUCGUAUGUUAACGUCGAACUUACGACGAAUUCCUCGUAAAUACCACGUAGGACAGAUUCGUCGUAAAUACCACGUAGGACAGAUUCGUCGUAAAUACCACGUAGGACAGAUUCGUCGUAAAUACCACGUAGGACAGAUUCGUCGUAAAUACCACGUAGGAGAGAUUCGUCGUAAAUACCACGUAAAGUAAAUGAUGAACGCGGCCCACUUUAAUUCCACGUAGGACGGAAUCGUCGUAAACACCUCGUAACCAAAAUCGUCGUAAACACCUCGUACCGUAAAAACUAGAAAAAAAAAAAGAAGAAAAAAUAUACUGGAUUUACAUGUGGCA